RNAcentral lists this ribosomal RNA (253 nucleotides) under uncultured bacterium. RNAcentral describes it as "partial 16S ribosomal RNA". It matches the Rfam family "Bacterial small subunit ribosomal RNA", at positions 524 to 776 of the family's 1533-position model. The record is from RNAcentral.
GACGUAGGAGGCGAGCGUUGUCCGGAUUCAUUGGGCGUAAAGAGCACGCAGGCGGUUUGGCAAGUCGGAUGUGAAAACCCGAAGCUCAACUUCGGGCCUGCAUCUGAAACUGCCCGACUAGAGGUAGGUAGGGGAGAUCGGAAUUCCUGGUGUAGCGGUGAAAUGCGCAGAUAUCAGGAGGAACACCGGUGGCGAAGGCGGAUCUCUGGGCCUUACCUGACGCUCAGGUGCGAAAGCUAGGGGAGCGAACAGG